GAUGAACGCUGGCGGCGUGCCUAAUACAUGCAAGUCGAGCGAACAGACGAGGAGCUUGCUCCUCUGACGUUAGCGGCGGACGGGUGAGUAACACGUGGAUAACCUACCUAUAAGACUGGGAUAACUUCGGGAAACCGGAGCUAAUACCGGAUAAUAUAUUGAACCGCAUGGUUCAAUAGUGAAAGACGGUUUUGCUGUCACUUAUAGAUGGAUCCGCGCCGCAUUAGCUAGUUGGUAAGGUAACGGCUUACCAAGGCAACGAUGCGUAGCCGACCUGAGAGGGGGAUCGGCCACACUGGAACUGAGACACGGUCCAGACUCCUACGGGAGGCAGCAGUAGGGAAUCUUCCGCAAUGGGCGAAAGCCUGACGGAGCAACGCCGCGUGAGUGAUGAAGGUCUUCGGAUCGUAAAACUCUGUUAUUAGGGAAGAACAAAUUUGUAAGUAACUAUGCACGUCUUGACGGUACCUAAUCAGAAAGCCACGGCUAACUACGUG
Molecule: ribosomal RNA, 497 nt
Filed under: uncultured bacterium
Lineage: Bacteria
Description: partial 16S ribosomal RNA
Rfam family: Bacterial small subunit ribosomal RNA
Source: RNAcentral